RNAcentral lists this ribosomal RNA (252 nucleotides) under uncultured prokaryote. Its description in RNAcentral is "partial 16S ribosomal RNA". It matches the Rfam family "Bacterial small subunit ribosomal RNA", at positions 525 to 776 of the family's 1533-position model. The record is from RNAcentral.
ACGUAGGGGGCGAGCGUUGUCCGGAUUUAUUGGGCGUAAAGAGCGCGUAGGCGGCCCGGGAAGUCGGUUGUGAAAACCCGGGGCUCAACCCCGGGCCUGCAUCCGAUACUCCCGGGCUAGAGGCAGGUAGGGGAGAGUGGAAUUCCCGGUGUAGCGGUGAAAUGCGCAGAUAUCGGGAGGAACACCGGUGGCGAAGGCGGCUCUCUGGGCCUGUCCUGACGCUCAGGCGCGAAAGCUAGGGGAGCAAACAGG